UGCCAAAGGAGAUUUGCCCG
RNAcentral lists this small nuclear RNA (20 nucleotides) under Arabidopsis thaliana (thale cress). Its description in RNAcentral is "snRNA_05486". The record is from RNAcentral. Lineage: Eukaryota; Viridiplantae; Streptophyta; Magnoliopsida; Brassicales; Brassicaceae.